This 301-nucleotide ribosomal RNA is filed under the name uncultured bacterium. Its description in RNAcentral is "partial 16S ribosomal RNA". It matches the Rfam family "Bacterial small subunit ribosomal RNA", at positions 509 to 807 of the family's 1533-position model. The record is from RNAcentral.
CAGCAGCCGCGGGAAUACGAAGGGGGCUAGCGUUGUUCGGAAUCACUGGGCGUAAAGCGCACGUAGGCGGACACUUAAGUCAGAGGUGAAAUCCCAAGGCUCAACCUUGGAACUGCCUUUGAUACUGGAAGUCUUGAGUUCGGGAGAGGUGAGUGGAACUGCGAGUGUAGAGGUGAAAUUCGUAGAUAUUCGCAAGAACACCAGUGGCGAAGGCGGCUCACUGGCCCGAUACUGACGCUGAGGUGCGAAAGCGUGGGGAGCAAACAGGAUUAGAGACCCCUGUAGUCCCUGUCUCUUAUAC